Molecule: small RNA, 627 nt
Filed under: Pongo abelii (Sumatran orangutan)
Lineage: Eukaryota; Metazoa; Chordata; Mammalia; Primates; Hominidae
Description: processed transcript
Source: RNAcentral
GAGUAUUUGUGGAGGGAAGUGGGAGGCACAGGCGGAGUGAUCUGUCCAGCGAGGGAGGAAGCAGAGGCCAGAGUCACGCGGACUGUGCGCUUCGAAGCGUGGAGCACAGUGCCAGUCGCAGUGGGGAAACGGGCGGCGUGACCAGGGCAGGAGUGAGGGAACACGGGGGGCUGUGUGAGCCCAGAGGAAGCACCUGAAGGCUGGGAGCAUCUGAAGGAAAGGAGGCAGCAGCCAGGUGAAAAGGGAGGAAGAGUUCUCGCCAGCAGAGUAGCGGGCGCAGGUCUCACAGAUUUCAAGCCUGGCUACUGGAUUGGUGUCCGCUAUGAUGAGCCACUGGGGAAAAAUGAUGGCAGUGUGAAUGGGAAACGCUACUUCGAAUGCCAGGCCAAGUAUGGCGCCUUUGUCAAGCCAGCAGUCGUGACGGUGGGGGACUUCCCGGAGGAGGACUACGGGUUGGACGAGAUAUGACACCUAAGGAAUUCCCCUGCUUCAGCUCCUAACUCAGCCACUGACCCUCCUGUGUGUGCCCAUGGCCCUUUUCUCUUGACCCCAGUUUAAUUUUAUUCAUUUUUUCCUUUGUCAUUGAUUUUUGAGACUCAUGCAUUAAAUUAACUAGAAACCCAGAAA